RNAcentral lists this ribosomal RNA (651 nucleotides) under uncultured bacterium. RNAcentral describes it as "bacterial SSU rRNA". It matches the Rfam family "Bacterial small subunit ribosomal RNA", at positions 229 to 888 of the family's 1533-position model. The record is from RNAcentral.
AUUCGCGGCCUAUCAGCUUGUUGGUGAGGUAACGGCUCACCAAGGCGACGACGGGUAGCUGGUCUGAGAGGACGAUCAGCCACACUGGGACUGAGACACGGCCCAGACUCCUACGGGAGGCAGCAGCAGGGAAUUUUGCACAAUGGGCGCAAGCCUGAUGCAGCGACGCCGCGUGGGGGAUGAAUGCCUUCGGGUUGUAAACCCCUUUCAGGAGGGACGAAGCGAAAGUGACGGUACCUCCAGAAGAAGCCCCGGCCAACUACGUGCCAGCAGCCGCGGUAAUACGUAGGGGGCGAGCGUUGUCCGGAUUUAUUGGGCGUAAAGAGCUCGUAGGCGGCUCAACAAGUCGGCCGUGAAAGCCUGAGGCUCAACCUCAGGACGCCGGUCGAAACUGUUGUGGCUAGGAUUCGGUAGAGGAGAGUGGAAUUCCCGGUGUAGCGGUGAAAUGCGCAGAUAUCGGGAGGAACACCAGUAGCGAAGGCGGCUCUCUGGGCCGACACCGACGCUGAGGAGCGAAAGCUAGGGGAGCAAACAGGAUUAGAUACCCUGGUAGUCCUAGCCGUAAACGUUGGGCACUAGGUGUGGCGGAUUCAUUGACAUCUGCCGUGCCGUAGCUAACGCAUUAAGUGCCCCGCCUGGGGAGUACGGAAU